Molecule: ribosomal RNA, 305 nt
Filed under: uncultured bacterium
Lineage: Bacteria
Description: bacterial SSU rRNA
Rfam family: Bacterial small subunit ribosomal RNA
Source: RNAcentral
CCUACGGGGGGCAGCAGUGGGGGAUAUUGCACAAUGGGGGAAGCCCUGAUGCAGCGACGCCGCGUGGGUGAAGAAGCGCCUCGGCGCGUAAAGCCCUGUCAGCAGGGAAGAAAAUGACGGUACCUGAAGAAGAAGCCCCGGCUAACUACGUGCCAGCAGCCGCGGUAAUACGUAGGGGGCAAGCGUUAUCCGGAUUUACUGGGUGUAAAGGGGGCGCAGACGGCGAUGCAAGCCAGGAGUGAAAGCCCGGGGCCCAACCCCGGGACUGCUCUUGGAACUGCGUGGCUAGAGUGCAGGCGGGGCAG